RNAcentral lists this ribosomal RNA (775 nucleotides) under uncultured Neocallimastigales. RNAcentral describes it as "partial large subunit ribosomal RNA". It matches the Rfam family "Eukaryotic large subunit ribosomal RNA", at positions 22 to 637 of the family's 3401-position model. The record is from RNAcentral. Lineage: Eukaryota; Fungi; Neocallimastigomycota; Neocallimastigomycetes; Neocallimastigales.
GUACACGCUGUGACUAGCAUAUCAAUAAGCGGAGGAAAAGAAACUAACAAGGAUUCCCCUAGUAACGGCGAGUGAAGCGGGAAGAGCUCAAAUUUGAAAUCUUAAAGGGUUUCCCUUUACGAAUUGUAGUUUAAAGAAGUGUUUUCUGUUGAGGUUUUGGUAAAAGUUCUUUGGAAUAGGACAUCAUAGAGGGUGAGAAUCCCGUAUUUGACCUUUACUUUCAACUUUGUGAUACACUUUCAAAGAGUCGGAUUGUUUGGGAAUGCAGUCCAAAAUGGGUGGUAAAUUUCAUCUAAAGCUAAAUAUUGGCGAGAGACCGAUAGCGAACAAGUACCGUGAGGGAAAGAUGAAAAGAACUUUGAAAAGAGAGUUAAACAGUACGUGAAAUUGUCAAAAGGGAAGCGUUUGACACCAGUGUUGUUUUUCUGAAAAUCAAUUAAAGAACUGUUUAUGCUAAGUUCGUUUAGACUUUAUCAGCUAACUGUUUAGUUUAGAGCUUUUCUUUAAUGCACUUUUCAGUUAACAAGUCAACAUCAAUUUCUUUUGCUGUAAAAAAGCUUGAGGAAGGUGGCUUGAGAUUCGUCUUAAGUGUUUAUAGCCUCUUGCCUAUGCAGUCGGAGAGAUUGAGGUCUGCAGCGUAGAUCCUUCGGGGCUAAAUGCAUUUGUGCUAAGUUAUAACAUUUUAUAGACAACUUGUUGACUAUGAUUUGUCUUGUAGCUUACUCGCUUAUGUUAUUUUACCUACGCUUAGGAUGUUGACAGCAGUAUAGACUGU